This 25-nucleotide microRNA is filed under the name Equus caballus (horse). Its description in RNAcentral is "eca-miR-8933". The record is from miRBase by way of RNAcentral. Lineage: Eukaryota; Metazoa; Chordata; Mammalia; Perissodactyla; Equidae.
GAGGUCAGGAACGCGGGCACAGGCG